GACGAACGCUGGCGGCGUGCUUAACACAUGCAAGUCGAACGGAAAGGCCCUGCUUUUGUGGGGUGCUCGAGUGGCGAACGGGUGAGUAACACGUGAGUAACCUGCCCUUGACUUUGGGAUAACUUCAGGAAACUGGGGCUAAUACCGGAUAGGAGCUCCUGCUGCAUGGUGGGGGUUGGAAAGUUUCGGCGGUUGGGGAUGGACUCGCGGCUUAUCAGCUUGUUGGUGGGGUAGUGGCUUACCAAGGCUUUGACGGGUAGCCGGCCUGAGAGGGUGACCGGCCACAUUGGGACUGAGAUCAGGCCCAGACUCCUACGGGAGGCAGCAGGGGCGAACAUUGCGCAGUGGGAGGAAGGCUGUUGCAACAACGCCCCGUGCGGGAGGACGGCCUUCGGGUUGUAAACCGCUUUGGCCUGUGACGAGGCGUGAGUGACGGUAAUGAGUAAAGAAGCACCGGCUUACUACGUG
RNAcentral lists this ribosomal RNA (468 nucleotides) under uncultured bacterium. RNAcentral's name for it is "partial 16S ribosomal RNA". It matches the Rfam family "Bacterial small subunit ribosomal RNA", at positions 28 to 507 of the family's 1533-position model. The record is from RNAcentral.